This 484-nucleotide ribosomal RNA is filed under the name uncultured bacterium. RNAcentral describes it as "partial 16S ribosomal RNA". It matches the Rfam family "Bacterial small subunit ribosomal RNA", at positions 28 to 507 of the family's 1533-position model. The record is from RNAcentral.
AUUGAACGCUGGCGGCAUGCUUUACACAUGCAAGUCGAACGGCAGCGCGGGCUUCGGCCUGGCGGCGAGUGGCGAAAGGGUGAGUAAUGCAUCGGAACGUGCCCAGUAGUGGGGGAUCGCCCGGCGAAAGCCGGAUUAAUACCCCAUACGACCUGAGGGCGACAGCGGGGGAGCGAAAGGCCUCGCGCCAUUGGAGCGGCCGAUGUCGGAUUAGCUAGUUGGUGGGGUAAAGGCUUACCAAGGCGACGAUCCGUAGCUGGUCUGAGAGGACGACCAGCCACACUGGGACUGAGACACGGCCCAGACUCCUGCGGGAGGCAGCAGUGGGGAAUUUUGGACAAUGGGGGCAAGCCUGAUCCAGCCAUACCGCGUGCGGGAAGAAGGCCUUCGGGUUGUAAACCGCUUUUGUUCGGGAAGAAAUCCUCUGGGCUAAUACCCCGGGGUGAUGACGGUACCGGAAGAAUAAGCACCGGCUAACUACGUG